Molecule: ribosomal RNA, 96 nt
Filed under: Caerostris darwini
Lineage: Eukaryota; Metazoa; Arthropoda; Arachnida; Araneae; Araneidae
Source: RNAcentral
GAAAUGCUCUGGUUCUCGUUAGAUCACCGAAGUCAAGCAUCAUUGGGCACGGUCAGUACUUGGGUGGUUGACCACCUGGGAACAUCGCGUGCCGUU